This is a non-coding RNA of Poecilia reticulata (guppy), 487 nucleotides long. The record is from RefSeq and is a predicted model, not a curated record. NCBI's taxonomy places the organism in Eukaryota, Metazoa, Chordata, Actinopteri, Cyprinodontiformes, Poeciliidae.
ACUGACUUGCUGAACCCAUCAUCUGCUGCAUUUAAAAGUCGAGCUGCACUUAUAAAGUCAUAUCUUGAACCUCUCUUCCAGCGAGAGUUUUCUACAUUACGUGAUUUCAUUGUAACUUCAUUCAGCAACGGAUCAAUUAUCAACAACAUGGACCUUCAAUUUUCAGCAGCGUCUGUACCUARCAACAUUCAAAUUGCAGAGGUUUUGCUGAAAGCAGCUUCAAACGUCACAACUUUCAACAUCGACACUGGUUCUAUUCUUGUGGAUGACACAGCGGUUUCAAGUGGAGUAAGCCACAACAUCAGCCUCAUCACGGCACUCAGCUUGGUCCUGCUGUCAUGGCUUCUUUCAAACCAGCAAUAACGACUCUGCUGGUUUCCAGAGGAAGAUGUGCUGGAAAAUGACAAUUCUUAGUGGUGCGAAGAAGGACAUUCUAAAAAUUCACUCAUGACACUUUAAAACUUUAAAAACCUUUAUUGAAACUUGA